Molecule: ribosomal RNA, 465 nt
Filed under: Escherichia coli
Lineage: Bacteria; Pseudomonadati; Pseudomonadota; Gammaproteobacteria; Enterobacterales; Enterobacteriaceae
Description: bacterial SSU rRNA
Rfam family: Bacterial small subunit ribosomal RNA
Source: RNAcentral
GCAAGCUUGAGUCUCGUAGAGGGGGGUAGAAUUCCAGGUGUAGCGGUGAAAUGCGUAGAGAUCUGGAGGAAUACCGGUGGCGAAGGCGGCCCCCUGGACGAAGACUGACGCUCAGGUGCGAAAGCGUGGGGAGCAAACAGGAUUAGAUACCCUGGUAGUCCACGCCGUAAACGAUGUCGACUUGGAGGUUGUGCCCUUGAGGCGUGGCUUCCGGAGCUAACGCGUUAAGUCGACCGCCUGGGGAGUACGGCCGCAAGGUUAAAACUCAAAUGAAUUGACGGGGGCCCGCACAAGCGGUGGAGCAUGUGGUUUAAUUCGAUGCAACGCGAAGAACCUUACCUGGUCUUGACAUCCACAGAACUUUCCAGAGAUGGAUUGGUGCCUUCGGGAACUGUGAGACAGGUGCUGCAUGGCUGUCGUCAGCUCGUGUUGUGAAAUGUUGGGUUAAGUCCCGCAACGAGCGCA